UACGUAGGGGGCAAGCGUUGUCCGGAAUCAUUGGGCGUAAAGCGCGUGUAGGCGGUUCAGUAAGUCUGCUGUGAAAGUCCAGGGCUCAACCCUGGGAUGCCGGUGGAUACUGCUGGGCUAGAGUACGGAAGAGGCGAGUGGAAUUCCCGGUGUAGCGGUGAAAUGCGCAGAUAUCGGGAGGAACACCAAUUGCGAAGGCAGCUCGCUGGGACGUUACUGACGCUGAGACGCGAAAGCUAGGGGAGCGAACGGG
This 253-nucleotide ribosomal RNA is filed under the name uncultured bacterium. RNAcentral describes it as "partial 16S ribosomal RNA". It matches the Rfam family "Bacterial small subunit ribosomal RNA", at positions 524 to 776 of the family's 1533-position model. The record is from RNAcentral.